This is a long non-coding RNA of Gastrolobium bilobum, 760 nucleotides long. RefSeq lists it as uncharacterized. The transcript is spliced from 4 exons. The record is from RefSeq and is a predicted model, not a curated record. NCBI's taxonomy places the organism in Eukaryota, Viridiplantae, Streptophyta, Magnoliopsida, Fabales, Fabaceae.
CUUCACCUCCUUCUCUCUCUAAGUUUCAAAUUUUGAAAACUCUCUCACUUCUCUCUAAGAUUUCUUCACCUAAAUCUCUCUAAACCACCAAACUUCCUGCACAAAGAUUGUUCCCCUCACUCUCCUCUUCACAACCAUACCAUUUUCAUGGUGUGAAUCAAAAAUUUCGUGUCCCUUAUCAUCCCAAACAGCCAUGGUUUUGUGGAGAGCAAAGGCUAUGGAGUUGUGUUCUUGAGCUCUCUUGAAGAAUCACACUUGCUUGCUUGUUUCCUUUGAUUUUUGGGUGUGUGCUUGCCUAAAGGUGUGUUCUUGGUGGAAAAAGGUGGAGACUUGAGCUAAAGGAGAAACCUUGAAGAUGUGUGCCUAGAGAACCGUGCACUUGAGGAUUUUGUUGGAGCAUAUGUAUUAUAUUGGAGUGUGGGCUUGUGCUAAGCUCCCUAAGGUACCCAGAGUAGUAGUGAUGCUUCUAGGGGCAAGGCCCCCGCAUUGGAGUAGUUGAUGAUGCAGCUGAUGAUUUUAUAUUAUGUUUAGAUUUGAUGUUGGCAUGUAGACUUGUUAACAUGCUUAAUUAUUUUAUGGAGAUUAUUGUAUGUAUUUAUUUAGGCUCAUGAUAGUAUUCUUAGAGCCAUGGAUUAUUUACUUAUACUUUUAUACUUCGAAUUAAUAUAGACUUGAUGCAUGUAUUCAGUUAAUUUGGGCAUGGAGACUUAUUAGUUGUAUUGACCCAUUAAGGGGAUUGCAGUCCGUGUGGGACUUGCAA